Molecule: ribosomal RNA, 256 nt
Filed under: uncultured bacterium
Lineage: Bacteria
Description: partial 16S ribosomal RNA
Rfam family: Bacterial small subunit ribosomal RNA
Source: RNAcentral
UACGUAGGGGGCAAGCGUUGUCCGGAUUUAUUGGGCGUAAAGAGCGUGUAGGCGGCUUGACAGGUCUGCUGUGAAAACUCGAGGCUCAACCUCGAGACGUCGGCGGAAACCGUCUGGCUAGAGUCCGGAAGAGGAGAGUGGAAUUCCGUGGUGUAGCGGUGAAAUGCGCAGAUAUCAGGAAGAACACCUAUGGCGAAGGCAGCUCUCUGGGGACGGUACUGACGCUCAUGCACGAAAGCGUGGGGGAGCGAACAGG